RNAcentral lists this ribosomal RNA (458 nucleotides) under uncultured bacterium. RNAcentral's name for it is "partial 16S ribosomal RNA". It matches the Rfam family "Bacterial small subunit ribosomal RNA", at positions 338 to 795 of the family's 1533-position model. The record is from RNAcentral.
CCUACGGGAGGCUGCAGUGAGGAAUAUUGGUCAAUGGGCGAGAGCCUGAACCAGCCAAGUCGCGUGAGGGAGUACUGCCCUAUGGGUUGUAAACCUCUUUUGUCGGGGAGCAAAAGCCGGACGUUUCCGGCUGUGAGAGUACCCGGAGAAAAAGCAUCGGCUAACUCCGUGCCAGCAGCCGCGGUAAUACGGGGGAUGCGAGGGUUAUCCGGAUUUUUUGGGGUUAAGGGGGGCGCAGGGGGAUUUUUAAGUCAGCGGUAAAAUCGUGGGGCUCAACCCCAUCCAGCCGUUGAAACUGGGGAUCUAGAGUGUGCGAGAGGUAUGCGGAAUGCGUGGUGUAGCGGUGAAAUGCAUAGAUAUCACGCAGAACCCCGAUUGCGAAGGCAGCAUACCGGUGCACAACUGACGCUCAGGCACGAAAGCGUGGGUAUCGAACAGGAUUAGAUACCCUGGUAGUC